This 1469-nucleotide long non-coding RNA is filed under the name Phoenix dactylifera (date palm). RNAcentral's name for it is "long non-coding RNA (PDAC_LNC014551)". The record is from RNAcentral. Lineage: Eukaryota; Viridiplantae; Streptophyta; Magnoliopsida; Arecales; Arecaceae.
UCUAUACUUGAGUUGACCUCGUACCAUUCUUUUAAACUUAAUUUAUUUUCCAACUCAUAGAUUUUUUUUUGUCAGAAUGUCAGGUCCGAAGAUAUACUCAUAAAAGUUCCAGGUCCAAAUGCAUGUAUGAUAAAAACAUAUUCGACUCGGCUCUCUAAAACUCGAUGAUAUACCUGACGUAUAUUAUUGUAAUUUAUGUAAUUAUAUUUUUAUGCUUCAAUUUUUUGUGAAAUUAUCAUAAAAAAUUUAAAAUUUUUAGCCACUUCUUUAAUCUCACAUGUCGCUUGUUAUCAAAAUUUCACCUCCUUUUUUUUUGGCUAAAAAAAAGAGGAGGAGAAUUAACCCCACUCGCAUAGCAGCCCCCACUGGGCCAUCUUUCCACCAGAGAAUGUCUGAUGCGGGUAGACAAUACACUCAUACCCUUCCCGACCCGUGGUUACCCACGUGUACCAGAAGCGCUCCCAUUGAGCGCGUCCAAGCAAAGGGUAUCCGGUCUCCAUAUUUAAUCAACGUCCGCGUGUUUCGAACCUGGGCCACAUCGGUGAAAACAAAACCCCGUUCCAUUUGUGCUACCACCUCGGUUGUACCGUCAUCCCACCUUUAAUCUCACUUUUUUGACUAAGGUGAUAGGAAGGGCUGAGAUAGCUUGAGGUGAUGCCGCUGGAAGCUUUAAGCAAUUGGUUUUAUCAGAAUUGUCGGAUCCAAGAUCCAAUGAGCGGUAGCACAGUUUAGCCUCGAUCUCAUGCUCUUUUUACUCAAUACUAAGUUAACAAACAGCUUAUUGACCGCGCAUCCAUCCCUUUUCCCACCCAAUACUGCACUGUCUCUCGAAUCCUCCAUCUUGUUCUUUGAGACUUGUUACUUUUUGACUUUUUUUUGAAUAUAUUCAUUUGUUGUGGAAAAAAAAACUAUUUCCGCAUCCAUCUUUUUCUGUAUUAAAACAUACUAAAUUUAGGAGGACAAUUUAUGACUUAAUCCAUCAAUCCGAUCUAUGAACGAUCCAUUUCGGAUUUAAUAUAAAUAGGUUUGUGUCGUAGCCAGGUCAACUUAUCUAAACCUAUUUAUUAAAUGAAUUGGAUUCAGAUUUAGAUCUUUGACCCAUUUAACCUAUUUUGAUCUAUUUAAUAAUUAGAUCGAAUUAUAACCCAAUUCAUUUAAUCUAUUUAAAAUUUAUUUAACAUGUUUAAAUUUUACUUAACCUAUUUUUAUCCUAUUUAACUCGAACUGCUUAAUCUAUUUGAUCUGUUUAAAUCUAUUUGAUCUGUUUAAAUCUAUUUAAUCUAUUAAAAAUCUACUUAGCCUAUUUAAUCCAUUUAACCUAAUUUAACUUGUUUAAUAAACAAGCCGAAUUUAGAUAUGAAUUUUUAAUCUAUCUAAUAAACAAGUUAAGUUUGGGUGGUUGAAUUUUUGAUCUGACCGACAUUUGACCCGAUCCGUAUCUGAUCGGGUCUAACUUGAUUGCCAACCCU